Molecule: ribosomal RNA, 711 nt
Filed under: Triticum aestivum (bread wheat)
Lineage: Eukaryota; Viridiplantae; Streptophyta; Magnoliopsida; Poales; Poaceae
Description: partial small subunit ribosomal RNA
Source: RNAcentral
AUGGAUGAGGUCACACAAGCCGUUGAAAACCUGAAAAGGGAAUGGAGCCGAGUAGUUGCACAGCUUGAGGUGUGCAUUGCUGCUAUUGAAUCCUGUGUGAAGCUGGGCAAGGGGACAGAAGAAGCGAGCUCUCUUCCUAGGUUGAACGGUUCUGCACUGGAUGCACUGCAAUUGCUCAAUGCACUGCAGUGCAGGCUUGAUCUUCUAGCAGAGCAGCUACCCACUUUUGAAGAAGUUCAGUCUGUCCAGGCAACCUUAGGGUCAUGGAAGGAAAAAUAUCAGAGGACAAAGGCUGGGAUGACCUCCGCUGCAGAAAGUACUACUGACAGCCUCCGUCGGUCUCGGCAGUUGAUGGUUCAGGAAGUGGGAAGAAGUGCUAAUACCUUGUCAACUUUUGAUGGAUUGCCAAGUGUUCUCCGAAAGGCUGAAGGUGAAUAUCAAGGGCACCGCUCUCUGCUGAUGCGCACCCGUGGUUUGCUCUCCACGAUGCAACGGCAAGAUGUUCUUGAUAGGAUCAUCCUGACUACUGGGUUCCUCGUGUUCUCCUUGGCGGUUCUUUAUGUCGCCUCAAGACGGAUUGGCCUGUUCACACUGCAGAGGAAGCUGGCCGAUGCUAUCAGAUCAGGCUCAGUAUCAGCUGGAGACAUCUUGGGUAAAGUGCAGGAAGGACCUGCCCCAACAACAAAUGCUCCUCCCAAUUUCCAUGUAUGA